This 237-nucleotide unclassified non-coding RNA is filed under the name Hevea brasiliensis (rubber tree). The record is from RNAcentral. Lineage: Eukaryota; Viridiplantae; Streptophyta; Magnoliopsida; Malpighiales; Euphorbiaceae.
ACUCAUCAGCUGCAAGAGAUACGGAAAGUUGAGUUUGACAAGAGAUGACUAUCUCUAAACUUUGAAAUGACAAGAUGUUCCGGCUGAGACUUUCAAAGAGAUGCAUUCCAGAACAGAAGCUGUAGCGAGAAGCCCAGCUGCAUCAUUAUUUACAGCUUAUAGUUGGAAAGGAGAAGCUCAUGACGCCAAAGAAAUAGUUUUGAUGAUCGACAAUUGGUCUGAAGUACUGCUUUUCAG